Long non-coding RNA from Polistes canadensis, 247 nucleotides. RefSeq lists it as uncharacterized. Lineage: Eukaryota; Metazoa; Arthropoda; Insecta; Hymenoptera; Vespidae. The record is from RefSeq and is a predicted model, not a curated record. The transcript has 2 exons.
CGUGAUGCAUUUGGUCAUCCUAUCAAGACGAGCCCUACGAAAGGGCUUAGGAAUAAAUGUCAGAAGAAAAAUGUUAAGACCGAAGAAACGCGURCUGUGACGCAGACUCCGUCCGCAGUAUUAGGUUGAACUGAGAAUUUUCCACGUUAAGAAAGGAGCCCCUUAAAAUGACCAAGACAAUAUGGUAAAGAUAGAAAAAGUGGUAAUUGCAACUGUGAGUAUAAGACGAAGAAACUGUGUUGCAGAA